This 1766-nucleotide ribosomal RNA is filed under the name Triticum aestivum (bread wheat). RNAcentral's name for it is "partial small subunit ribosomal RNA". The record is from RNAcentral. Lineage: Eukaryota; Viridiplantae; Streptophyta; Magnoliopsida; Poales; Poaceae.
AAAAGUAUUACCAAUACCAAGACCGUGUCCGAUUCUGCAAAGCAAAGAAGAAGAAAAGAAGAAACGGACGCGCGUGCGUGCGCACGACGCCACGCGACACCACCCGCCGACCACCGCACCGUCGGUCGAACCAAGGAGAAGCAUCCACCCCCCGCACGCACUUCCCCGUCCAGAUCGAUCAGGCCGCCGGCGCGCUCUGCUCCCCCCGAUGCAGGACCAGGCCGGGGCCGCCUCCGGCUCCGGGGAUCCGGACCCUCCGCCGGAGCACGCCGGCGGCGAGGGCGGCUCCUCCUCCGCCGCGGCCGCCGCCAGGCUCCCCUCCCGCAACGCCUCCUCCAAGUACGACUUCGUCAAGGUCAAGGUCUGGCUCGGGGAGAACGCCGACCACUACUACGUCCUCUCCAGGUUCCUCCUCAGCAGGAUGCUCACCGUCACCAAGGCUCAUCAAGCUAUACUAAUUGUUUCACAGAGUGACUUAGAGGCCAACCUUUUCAAGCUAAUGGAGAAAAGGGGAUAUGGAGAGGACUACAUUAAUCGAUAUAAGAUGAUGACAAGAUUCCAUCAUCAAAGAGUACCACUAGUAAUUUUGGUGUGUGGAACUGCUUGCACUGGAAAAUCAACAAUUGCUACACAGCUAGCUCAAAGGCUCAACCUACCAAAUGUUUUACAGACAGACAUGGUAUAUGAGUUGUUGCGGACAUCAACAGAUGCCCCGCUAACUUCAGUACCUGUGUGGGCUCGGGAUUUUAAUUCACCUGAAGAACUUAUCACCGAAUUUUGCAGAGAAUGCAGAGUUGUUCGCAAAGGUUUGGCUGGUGAUUUGAAGAAAGCAAUGAAAGAUGGGAAGCCAAUUAUAAUAGAGGGAAUUCAUUUGGAUCCAAGCAUUUACCUGAUGGACGAGGAGAAUGCAGAUGACAAUUCCAGAAUUGAGAAAAAGGUUGAAUCUGGAAAUUCAUCCAUCUCUGCAGAAAAGAAAACAGAACAGCAAUCAGAAAAUGGUCUACCUGAGAACAUUGUAAGUGUUCUAAAGGAAGAUAUCAUACAAAGCCAGGACUGCCUGCCUGAGAGUAGGACCAGUGAAGGUCUGUCUGGUGCUGACAGCCAUGAGAUUACCUCUUCUGAUUCUGAAGAGAAAAUUCUCAAAGCUGAAGGCAAUGGACAAAAGGAUUUGGACCAACAGAAGAGCAACAGUGCCAAGAAAGACAAGCCUGCUGCUGAACCGAUAGUUGUUCCAAUUGUGUUGAGGAUGUCUGAUUUUGAUCACAAGGCAUUGUUAGAGGAAUGGAUAGCCACUAGAGCUAUCAGAGAUAAUUGCCUUCCUCAGGAUCAUCGAAAGCUUAUAAACAACCUCAAACUUAUUCAGGAUUAUCUUUGCUCUUUUGAGGCACAGGGAUUGACUGUUGUUGACAUCUCAGCAAACUCGUUUCCUCAAACGUUAGAUUGGCUUCAUGGCUAUCUUCUUCAGUGCAUUGAGCGCGGCCUUCUGGCUGCAUGUUCAGAAGGCCCCAAGCAAUAGGAAAACCAAUUAACAUGACAGUUCUCGUAAGCACACAAGGCGAUGUGAGAGAGACUCAACAGAAUUGCUCGGCGUGGAAUCUGUUAGCAUACAUAAUCUUUUCUCACUUUGCUGGUUAUAUGUAAUGUGUAUGAUCUCUAGUCAUGGGUUGUUUGCGUUGGGCAUAAUAGAGUAUAAUCUUCUUCCUUUAAGUUUGGUGUGUUUCAUUUGUGUUGUAAUAGUAAGUGCUAGCAACUUGUGCAAAUUAUGA